GUAGCACCUAGCUAGUCAGUACGAGUGAGCAUUGCUUCAGUGCGGGGGCGCGCACGCGCACACACACAAGUCACAGCGGGACACACACAGGCCUCAAAACACCCAGUCAGAUGCCAUAAAUGUCGGAUUGAUUUCGUUUGGCGGGAUAACAAGACACACAGAGUCAUCUCCCCCUCUACUCUACAACAACAAAAUAAUUUCAAGAAUUUUUAAACACCAACCCUAGCUAGGUCAUGGAGGACCACCCCGAAACUUCCCGAAACCGCUCUAAGAGGAAUCGGUCUAAGAACGCGACCGAUGAGAGAACAAGUGAGGAGGUGGAGGAGCGCGAGGAUGAUUUCGAAGAGGUUCGCCCUAAAUCCAAGCGUAAUCGUGCUGCCAAGGAUGACACUCCCGCCGCCGUCCUCCUCAAUCCCAACCAAAGCUUGAUAGAUGUUAUUAAAGGGAAUGGGGUACAAAUUCCUCAGGCGGUGAAGCUUUGGGUUGAGCGAUAUGAGAAGGAUCCAAAACUUGCAAUGGUUGAGCUCUUGACGAUGCUGUUUGAGGCAUGUGGAGCCAAGUAUAGUAUCAAGAAAGAGUUGCUGGAUGAGACUGAUGUUGAUGAUGUUGUCGUUGCUCUUGUCAAUCUUGCAAGAAAUGGUGAAGUUGAAGAUUAUCAGAGUUCAAAGAGGAAGGACUUCAAACACUUUAAAGAUAACCUCAUCACAUUCUGGGACAAUUUGGUUACUGAGUGCCAAAAUGGGCCCCUGUUUGAUAAGGUUUUGUUUGACAAAUGCAUGGACUAUAUAAUAGCACUGUCAUGCACUCCACCAAGAGUUUACCGUCAAGUUGCAUCCUUGAUGGGUCUCCAACUUGUCGCGUCAUUCAUAACAGUAGCUAAAGCGCUUGGCUUACAACGAGAAACUACUCAGAGACAAUUAAAUGUGGAAAAGAAGAAACAAAUAGAAGGACCUCGUCUAGCGUCCCUAAAUAAAAGGUUAUCAGCAACUCAUGAUAAGAUACUUGUACUAGAGGACUUGAUGCGCAAAAUAUUUACCGGGUUAUUCGUGCAUCGGUACCGUGAUAUUGAUCCUAAUAUUCGAACAUCAUGCAUUGAGUCUCUUGGUGUAUGGGUUUUGUCCUAUCCAUCACUUUUCUUGCAGGAUUUAUACUUAAAGUAUCUUGGAUGGACACUAAAUGAUAAAAAUGCAGGUGUCAGAAAAGCAUCUGUUCAAGCAUUAAAAAAACUUUAUGAUGUGGAUGAUAAUGUGCCCACUCUCGGUCUUUUUACUGAAAGAUUUUCCAACCGGAUGAUUGAGCUUGCUGAUGACAUUGAUGUUUCUGUAGCUGUUUGUGCGAUAGGACUUGUAAAACAAUUACUUAGGCAUCAGCUCCUACCUGAUGAUGACUUGGGUCCGUUAUAUGAUUUACUUAUUGAUGAUCCAGCAGAAAUCAGGCGUGCCAUAGGAGAAUUGGUGUAUGAUCACCUAAUUGCACAAAAAUUUAACAACUCUCAAUCUAGCUCAAAAGGCAGUGAUGAUGGCUCUUCUGAGGUUCAUCUUAGCAGAAUGUUGCAGAUUUUGAGGGAGUUUUCAGCAGAUCCAAUUCUCAGUAUCUAUGUUAUUGAUGAUGUUUGGGAGUACAUGAAAGCAAUGAAGGACUGGAAGUGUAUUAUUUCCAUGCUCCUGGAUGCGAAUCCAUUAAUUGAGCUUACCGAUGAUGAUGCUACAAAUUUGGUUAGACUUCUUUCUGCAUCUGUCAGAAAGGCUGUGGGAGAGAGGAUUGUUCCAGCAUCAGAUACUCGAAAGCAAUAUUACAAUAAAGCUCAGAAAGAAAUAUUUGAAAAUAAUAGACGGGACAUAACUAUCGCCAUGAUGAAGAACUACCCGCUACUUCUGCGCAAAUUCAUGGCCGACAAAUCAAAAGUGCCAUCGUUGGUUGAGAUCAUUGUGCAUAUGAACCUAGGGCUUUAUUCCCUGAAGAGACAGGAGAGUAAUUUCAAAAAUGUCCUUCAGCUCAUGAAACAGUCAUUUUUUAUACAUGGUGACAAGGAAGCACUCAGAUCUUGUGUGAAGGCUAUCAAGUUCUGUUCCACCGAAAGUCAAGGAGAGCUGAAAGAUUAUGCUCUAAAUAAAUUGAAGAAUCUUGAAGAUGAACUCAUUAAUAAGCUUAAGUCUGCAGUGAAAGAAGCAGCGGAUGGUGAUGAAUAUUCUCUGCUUGUGAAUUUGAAAAGGUUAUAUGAGCUUCAGUUGGCAUGGUCUGUACCUAUUGAGAGCUUAUAUGAAGAUAUUGUUAAGGUUCUCCACAGUUUCAGAAAUGUGGAUGAUGAGGUUGUCAGUUUUCUUCUGCUCAAUAUGUAUUUGCAUGUAGCCUGGAGUCUGCAGUCUAUUGUAAACAGUGAAACUGUCUCUGAAGCUUCGUUAACUUCUCUACUGUUUAAACGCACUGCCUUGUUUGAGGAACUUGAGUACUUUCUUGGAACCCCUUCUGAAGAUAAGGAAGGGAAUAAAUGUGGAAAUCAGCUUGCUUGUAGAGUUUGUAUUAUACUUGCAGAAGCAUGGUGUUUGUUCAGAAAGACUAAUUUUUCUUCAACAAAGCUGGAACAUUUAGGAUAUUGUCCAGAUACAUCUGUUCUACAAAGGUUCUGGAAACUUUGUGAACAACAGUUAAAUAUUUCAGAUGAGACAGAAGAUGAAGAGACAAACAAGGAGUACAUUGAGGAGACAAACAGAGACGCAGUUAUGAUUGCUUCAGCGAAGUUGGUAGUUAGCAGUGCAGUUCCCAGGGAAUAUCUUACUCCGGAGAUCAUUUCUCACUUUGUGAUGCAUGGAACAAGUGUUGCAGAGAUAGUCAAGCAUCUAAUCACCGUCAUAAAGAAGAAUGAUGAUUUUCCAGACAUUUUCCUAGAAGCAUUGAAAAGGGCCUAUGAUCGGCAUCUAGUGGAUCUUUCAAAAAGUGAUGAUGAAUCUUUCACCAGCAAAUCUCUCAUAGAGUGCAAGGAUCUUGCUGCUCGACUUUCUGGGACAUUCGUGGGUGCUGCUCGGAACAAGCAUCGAUCUGAUAUUCUAAAAAUCGCCAGGGAUGGUAUUGAAUAUGCUUUCGUAGAUUCUCCAAAACAGCUCUCUUUUCUGGAAGGUGCUGUGCUUCAUUUUGUGUCCAAGCUUCCUGUGGUUGACAUCCUGGAAAUUCUAAAGGAUGUCCAGAGCCGGACAGAGAAUAUAAAUACUGAUGAAGAUCCUAGUGGCUGGCGCCCUUACCACACAUUUGUUGACAGCUUACGAGAGAAGUAUGUGAAGAAUGAAGGUUUGCCAGAUGAGAAAGAGAGGAAACGCGGUGGUCGCCCAAGAAAGCGGCGUAAUAUUGAGGGAAAGAGAUUGUUUGACGAGGACAGUUCAAGCGAAGAAGAGGAUUCUAUUAGUUGUUCAGAUCGAGAAGAUGCUCAUGAUGAAGAAGAGAAGCAGGAUGAGGAGGAAGAGGAUGAGGCUCCUUUGAUACAUUCCCUCAGGUCAUCAUCCAAGUUGAGGUCAUUGAAACUUUCAAGAGAUGAAAACAAAGGCCAUAGAAGGACAGGAGUUUCUGCUUCUAAAACAUCAGGGGCAUCAAACUAGCAACUGUCCCUAUCAUGUUUCGUUAUAUACAUGAAAAGCAUGGCUAACAAGUUUUCGUUAAGAUCUUAGAGCAGGGAAACAGUGUCAAAAGAUAGAAAGCAUGCCUCUUCUGCAUUUUUCUCAUAAAUUGCAUGGAAAAGUUGGAGCAGCCUCAAGUGUUUAAGUUGAUCUCUCCUAUCAUGCCAAAGCCAUAACAGAUAAGUGAAAAGCAAGGUUUCCAGGAUGAGGAUCAGCCUGAAAGAAAUCAGCUUUCACCUUCUCUGGAUGAAGGUGCUGAACAUGUUUUCUCUAGCUGCAGCGACGGAUAGCUGUUAAAGAAGAGGAUUCUGCCACGACCACGUCCAAGAUCAUAUGACCUGUUCUCACGGCAGAGUUCAGAAACCAUGCUGGUGGCGUGGACAAUAUGAGAGGAAAACCCACUGAUUCAUCCACUUAUCAGUUCCAUCCAAACCCCCUCCUUCCAUGUCGAACUAAACAUUCUAAAUAGAAACAUAUAGUGAUCUGUAAUAAUCAUUCUAUUCAACGUUGAGAAUUUUAAAAAACAA
RNA transcript from Populus nigra (black poplar), 4132 nucleotides. It is a transcript of the gene named sister-chromatid cohesion protein 3-like, with no coding region annotated. The transcript is spliced from 23 exons. The record is from RefSeq and is a predicted model, not a curated record. NCBI's taxonomy places the organism in Eukaryota, Viridiplantae, Streptophyta, Magnoliopsida, Malpighiales, Salicaceae.